RNAcentral lists this ribosomal RNA (355 nucleotides) under uncultured Acholeplasma sp. Its description in RNAcentral is "bacterial SSU rRNA". It matches the Rfam family "Bacterial small subunit ribosomal RNA", at positions 1027 to 1382 of the family's 1533-position model. Lineage: Bacteria; Bacillati; Mycoplasmatota; Mollicutes; Acholeplasmatales; Acholeplasmataceae. The record is from RNAcentral.
CAGGGAGACAGGUGGUGGCAUGGUUGUCGUCAGCUCGUGUCGUGAGAUGUUGGGUUAAGUCCCGCAACGAGCGCAACCCUUAUUGCUAGUUACCAUCAUUAAGUUGGGGGACUCUAGCGAGACUGCCAGUGAUAAACUGGAGGAAGGUGGGGAUGACGUCAAAUCAUCAUGCCCCUUAUGACCUGGGCUACAAACGUGAUACAAUGGCUGAAACAAAGGGCAGCGAAGGAGCGAUCUGGAGCGAAACCCAAAAAGCAGUCUCAGUUCGGAUUGAAGUCUGCAACUCGACUUCAUGAAGUCGGAAUCGCUAGUAAUCGCGGAUCAGAACGCCGCGGUGAAUACGUUCUCGGGGUUU